RNAcentral lists this ribosomal RNA (253 nucleotides) under uncultured bacterium. Its description in RNAcentral is "partial 16S ribosomal RNA". It matches the Rfam family "Bacterial small subunit ribosomal RNA", at positions 524 to 776 of the family's 1533-position model. The record is from RNAcentral.
UACGUAGGUGACAAGCGUUGUCCGGAUUUACUGGGCGUAAAGAGCGCGCAGGCGGUCGAUCAAGUCGAGUGUGAAAGCCCCCGGCUCAACUGGGGAGGGUCAUUCGAUACUGAUCGACUCGAAGGCAGGAGAGGGUAGUGGAAUUCCCGGUGUAGUGGUGAAAUGCGUAGAUAUUCGGAAGAACACCAGUGGCGAAGGCGACUUACUGGACACAUAUUGACGCUGAGGUGCGAAAGCGUGGGGAGCAAACAGG